AUUGAACGCUGGCGGCAGGCCUAACACAUGCAAGUCGAGCGGAUGAAGGGAGCUUGCUCCUGGAUUCAGCGGCGGACGGGUGAGUAAUGCCUAGGAAUCUGCCUGGUAGUGGGGGAUAACGUCCGGAAACGGGCGCUAAUACCGCAUACGUCCUGAGGGAGAAAGUGGGGGAUCUUCGGACCUCACGCUAUCAGAUGAGCCUAGGUCGGAUUAGCUAGUUGGUGGGGUAAAGCCCUACCAAGGCGACGAUCCGUAACUGGUCUGAGGGGAUGAUCAGUCACACUGGAACUGAGACACGGUCCAGACUCCUACGGGAGGCAGCAGUGGGGAAUAUUGGACAAUGGGCGAAAGCCUGAUCCAGCCAUGCCGCGUGUGUGAAGAAGGUCUUCGGAUUGUAAAGCACUUUAAGUUGGGAGGAAGGGCAGUAAGUUAAUACCUUGCUGUUUUGACGUUACCAACAGAAUAAGCACCGGCUAACUUCGUG
Molecule: ribosomal RNA, 484 nt
Filed under: uncultured bacterium
Lineage: Bacteria
Description: partial 16S ribosomal RNA
Rfam family: Bacterial small subunit ribosomal RNA
Source: RNAcentral